This 1997-nucleotide long non-coding RNA is filed under the name Marmota monax (woodchuck). The record is from RNAcentral. Lineage: Eukaryota; Metazoa; Chordata; Mammalia; Rodentia; Sciuridae.
GUCUCAAAUUUGUAAUCCUUUUUCCUGGGAUUACAGGUGUGUGCCAGUUUGCCUGGCCAAAAUCAAUAAAUAAAAUACAAAGUAGAGACAUCCUUCAAAGCUUUUCCCUUUUGGUAACUUUUCAGUAUCUAUCUUAUUUUGCAUAAGGAUGUUAUUUCUGCUUUCUUAUUUCAUCAGUUGAAAUGAAUACGAUAGUGUGUAAAGAAUUUGCAGGUUCUUAAAAUGAUGGUGAAUAAAUUGGUGUUCAUAUCAUUUACUUAAUGCCAUUUGCCAUCUUUUAAUGUUAUAGUAAUAGAAUAGGAAGGAAAUAAGUACAUAUACUUGUUUUCAGGACCUUUUCUUUGUAAAAUACUGAUUCAAAAUCUUCUACAGUUUACUUCAUUUUGACAUUUCAUCUUUCUUUUCAUCCAUUUCUUUUUACACUAUCUGCUCUAAUCAAGCAGUUUGGGUCAAUUCUAUCAGAAAAAUCUUUAUACUUUCUUGUGCUUUGACAGCUUAAGUUUCUCACCUAGAAUGUCUUUUGCUUCCCUUCUAAUCAUCUCUCAAGGCACAAUUCAACUUUUAUAUAUACCAUUAAUCUUUUUGUAAUCAUCCUAGCCUAAAACUACCUCUCCUCUUAAUUCUGUUUUCUUAAUAUAUGGUAUAAGAACCAUCCAUUUCAGAAUCAAUUGAGUAUUUUAUAGAUUCUGGGCUCCAUUCCAGACUUUCUAGCUUUUUGAGGGUAAGUCCCAGAAAUCUCUGUUUUUAAAGCUACUCUAUCUACAGUAAUCUUUGGAAGUACUAUUCUUAUAUUAUUCAGUUGUAUAGUACAUAUUGCAUUACUAUAUUUAGCUAUUCAUUGAUAAUUAUUGGGUCUUAUCUCCCCAUCUAUAUUAAACACAGAACCAUUUUCAUUAUUCCUACUCACACAUGAACACACACCCAACCACUUACUUUGUAAUUCUGAGUUGGAUAUUCAAUAGGCUUCAUGUAGCAAUAGCUCAAUAAUUUUAUAGAACUCAGUUGGGUGUGGUGGCACAUGCCUAUAAUUCCAGCAACUUGGGAGAGCAGGAAAAUUGGAAGUUGGAGGCCAUCCUCAUCAAUUUAGUGACACCAUGUCUCAGAAUAAAAUAAAUAAAUAGAAAUGUCUAGGGAUGUAGCUCAAUGGUAAAGUGCCCCUCAAUGGUAAAAUCUCCAGUUCAAAAAAAAAAACCAAAAAAUUUACAGAAAAUAAUAAUCAUGUUUUUAAUUUCAGUGCCCAGCAGGAUGCUGUUUUUGAAUUAAUUUCCAUGGGAUUUAAUGUAGCUCUGUGGUAUACCAAAUAUGCUUCAAGACUGGCGGGAAAAGAAAAGUAAGUUAAAAGAGAAAGGGUUUAUGUAUGUAAUAUGAUGUUUUUCAAAUAUUUUGAGUUUCAUUAUAAAAAGUUUAGGCUGUUGAUUAAAGAAUACCGUGUUGAGUGAGUGCACAUAUUUUAAGUUUUAGAAUUAGGGAGCCUAGUGUUAAGAGAAGAAAAAAUUUUAAAAUAAUCUUGUAAUGUGAAAGAUUUUCCUAAAUAAGACUCCAUACCAAGAAACUGUAAAAGGAAGGAUUGAAUAUUUGUCCGCUUAGAAGUCCUAUGAACAUAGCUUAAGAAGCACGUGACAGAAUUGGUUUAAAACAUUGCAAUGCAUAUGGUGAAUUAUUCAUUUCUUAAAAUGUAUACUCUUACAAAUCAACAAAGACCAUCAAAUUAGUUAAAAAUAAGCAAUGGACAUGAAUAGGCUAUUCAUAGAAAAAGAAAUGCAAAAGGUUUUAAGUAUAUGAAAAGAUCUUGAAGGUCUAAAAGAAUUACAAAAUAAAAUGAGGUGAAAUUUUUAUAAUAGCUAAAGUGUCUAGAGCAAUAGGAAAUUGGCAAAAUUGUUAUAAUUUAUCCAUACAUAGGAAUAGUAUGAUACCAUUGAAAAAUGAAGUUGAAUCUUGUGUACUGAUAUAAAAUUAUCUCUAAAGUGAUUAAAAUUAGGAGAGUAGCGAAUAUAGAU